GAUGAAGAACGUAGCGAAAUGCGAUAAGUAAUGUGAAUUGCAGAAUUCAGUGAAUCAUCGAAUCUUUGAACGCACAUUGCGCCCGCCAGUAUUCUGGCGGGCAUGCCUGCUCGAGCGUCAUUUCAACCAUCAAGCCCCAGGCUUGUGUUGGGGACCUGCGGCUGCCGCAGGCCCUGAAAACCAGUGGCGGGCUCGCUGUCACACCGGGCGUAGUAGAUUUUAUCUCGCUCAGGGCGUGCUGCGGGUCCCGGCCGUUAAAAGCCUUUUUUUACCCAAGGUUGACCUCGGAUCAGGUAGGAAGACCCGCUGAACUUAAGCAUAUCAAUAAGCGGAGGA
RNAcentral lists this unclassified non-coding RNA (336 nucleotides) under soil metagenome. RNAcentral's name for it is "partial contains 5.8S ribosomal RNA, internal transcribed spacer 2, and large subunit ribosomal RNA". The stretch from base 1 to 120 matches the Rfam family "5.8S ribosomal RNA", at positions 35 to 154 of the family's 154-position model. The record is from RNAcentral.